GAUGUUACUUCAACUGUUUGUUUUGAAAGUCACAACUUAUCUAAUAACAGUAAAAUUAGUACAAAAGAAGCUCAAAACAUGAAUAAAUACAUCUUUCAAUACCUAACUUCCGUGUAGCCUCAUGCAAAAUUUAUUUCAAAAUAUGAGACAUUUAACAUCAUAAUUGAAUCUUUUUGGUUUCUAAUAACUCCUGCAUAUGCCUUGAUGACUUGAUAGAAUGAUAGAGUUAAAAUAGUUAAACCUUGUCGGCAAAGGGUUCACGGAC
This is a long non-coding RNA of Arabidopsis thaliana (thale cress), 265 nucleotides long. RefSeq annotates it as other RNA. The transcript has a single exon. NCBI's taxonomy places the organism in Eukaryota, Viridiplantae, Streptophyta, Magnoliopsida, Brassicales, Brassicaceae. The record is from RefSeq.